Triticum dicoccoides is the source of this 406-nucleotide long non-coding RNA. RefSeq lists it as uncharacterized. The record is from RefSeq and is a predicted model, not a curated record. The transcript has 3 exons. NCBI's taxonomy places the organism in Eukaryota, Viridiplantae, Streptophyta, Magnoliopsida, Poales, Poaceae.
ACCCUCCUCUGCUUCGGGCCCUCCCUGUGCCGGCCGCCCUUGCCUUCACGCAACUGUGCCUAAGGACAUGAUUCGAAGUUUUAGCUGCAGGUGGCUUACCCUGAUGGAUACCAUUAGGAACUUCUCCACCGCCAGCCACAUCAUCCUUUGAAGUCGUCCGGAUGACUGUUGUUGUUCAACCUUUGCAAAUGAUGAGAGGAAGACAAGGAGAAUGAUGCAAUAUUGAGCAUUGCCAAUGCAUCUACUUAUUGGACGUGGACUGUCAUAUUCCCAUCGGCAUAUCAAAUAUAUUUCUUUAUAGCAACGCCAUGGAUUUCCUAUCAUGUUUAGCUUCACUCCAAGGCAAGCUACACCCCCACCUCUCUCUCAUGGAAUUUUUACAGAACACUAUCAAUGAGACUGAACC